CGCGAGGAGCGUCCGAAGGUAAGACCGGUGACUGGGGCUAAGUCGUAACAAGGUAGCCGUACCGGAAGGUGCGGCUGGAACACCUCCUUUCUGGAGUAUUCAGAGGAGCUAUCUCCACUUAUUACGUCUCAUUAAUAACAUAGUCGACCGAGGUGUAGUCAUACGAUACAAGGAAGUAUAUAUGGACACAUUGUUAAUUGUUCAGGCUUGUUUGUUCCUUUGUCUUGGUAUAUUUAAUUAUACGGCAACCCUAUUUUUAUACUGCCUGCUUAUAUCUCUUAGUUCUGUUAGGUGUAAGGUAAUGAGAGGUUGAGUGUAGAUGGGUUGGGUAUCAACAGACCCAUAGCUCAGUUGGUUAGAGCGCUACACUGAUAAUGUAGAGGUCGGCAGUUCAACUCUGCCUGGGUCUACCGGCAUGGGAGCUUACUAGUGAGUAGCUUUCUGAGGGAUGUAUAGAAAUACGGGGAAUUAGCUCAGCUGGCUAGAGCACCUGCCUUGCACGCAGGGGGUCAUCGGUUCGAAUCCGUUAUUCUCCACAUUUGGUUGACUAAGGGACGCUUAGUAUAAACCGAGCUGAUCAUAGACAUAUUGGCAAAUAUAUUUUAUAUUGAAACAAUAGUAAAGAGACAAAAGAGGAUUCUGGAAGUAGUACGCAAGUGCUAUUGAAGGUCUUUUCAAGAUGAGAUGAUAUCUCAUUGUGAGCAAAUUCUUCUGAAUUUUUACUUGAGCGACAAUGUUUAGUAUACUUAAAGCGUAGAGCAAAUCUAAUAAUAUUGUUAUUAUACAGCAUUAUGCGUUGCAUAUUUCUUACGAGGGAUAUGUGAUAAAGAAGGUUAUAAAGUAAUUAAGGGC
Molecule: unclassified non-coding RNA, 852 nt
Filed under: Porphyromonas levii
Lineage: Bacteria; Pseudomonadati; Bacteroidota; Bacteroidia; Bacteroidales; Porphyromonadaceae
Description: partial 16S-23S ribosomal RNA intergenic spacer region
Rfam family: tRNA (bases 337-410)
Source: RNAcentral